GAAAAGUUAGUUUAUUAAAAACAUUAAUUUGUCAAGUUAAAGAAAUUAAAUUAAUACUUUUUA
RNAcentral lists this transfer RNA (63 nucleotides) under Artheneis intricata. Its description in RNAcentral is "tRNA-Asp". Lineage: Eukaryota; Metazoa; Arthropoda; Insecta; Hemiptera; Artheneidae. The record is from RNAcentral.